This 422-nucleotide ribosomal RNA is filed under the name uncultured bacterium. RNAcentral describes it as "bacterial SSU rRNA". It matches the Rfam family "Bacterial small subunit ribosomal RNA", at positions 358 to 773 of the family's 1533-position model. The record is from RNAcentral.
AGAAUCUUCCGCAAUGCGCGCAAGCGUGACGGAGCGACGCCGCGUGGGUGAUGAAGGCCUUCGGGUUGUAAAGCCCUGUCAGCCGCUAAGAACCGCAGGCGGUGAAUAGCCGUCCUGCCUGACUAUGCGGCAGAGGAAGCCCCGGCUAAAUACGUGCCAGCAGCCGCGGUAAUACGCAUGGUGCAAACGUGGUUAGGAAUCACUGGGCUUAAAGAGCGCGUAGGCGGUUGGAUAAGUCGGAUGUGAAAUCCCUCGGCUCAACCGAGGAACUGCAACCGAUACUGUCUCACUGGAGUGCAGGAGGGGAGAGUGGAAUUCCUGGUGGAGCGGUGAAGUGCGUAGAUAUCAGGAGGAACGCCGGCGGCGAAAGCGACUCUCUGGCCUGUUACUGACGCUGAGGCGCGAAAGCUAGGGGAGCAAAC